RNAcentral lists this ribosomal RNA (446 nucleotides) under uncultured bacterium. RNAcentral's name for it is "bacterial SSU rRNA". It matches the Rfam family "Bacterial small subunit ribosomal RNA", at positions 28 to 480 of the family's 1533-position model. The record is from RNAcentral.
GAUGAACGCUAGCGGCAGGCUUAACACAUGCAAGUCGAGGGGCAGCAUGACACGGAGAUUCGUCGAAGUGUCGAUGGCGACCGGCGCAAGGGUGCGUAACGCGUGAGCAACUUGCCCGUUUCUGGGGAAUAACCGUUGGAAACGACGACUAAUACCCCAUAGUAUCAUGAUGAGGCAUCUUAUUGUGAUUAAAGAAUUUCGGAAACGGAUAGGCUCGCGUGACAUUAGCUAGAUGGCGGGGUAACGGCCCACCAUGGCGACGAUCAGUAGCCGGUCUGAGAGGAUGAACGGCCACAUUGGGACUGAGAUACGGCCCAGACUCCUACGGGAGGCAGCAGUGGGGAAUAUUGGGCAAUGGGGGAAACCCUGACCCAGCAACGCCGCGUGAAGGAAGAAGGCCUCGGUUGUAACUACUUUAGCUAGGACGAAGAACGUAGACGGUACCU